ACGAACGCUGGCGGCGCGCCUAACACAUGCAAGUCGAACGGAGCUGAGAGAAGCUUGCUUUUCUUAGCUUAGUGGCGAACGGGUGAGUAACGCGUGAGUAACCUGCCCUGGAGUGGGGGACAACAGUUGGAAACGACUGCUAAUACCGCAUAAGCCCACGAUCCGGCAUCGGAUUGAGGGAAAAGGAUUUAUUCGCUUCAGGAUGGACUCGCGUCCAAUUAGCUAGUUGGUGAGGUAACGGCCCACCAAGGCGACGAUUGGUAGCCGGACUGAGAGGUUGAACGGCCACAUUGGGACUGAGACACGGCCCAGACUCCUACGGGAAGCAGCAGUGGGGGAUAUUGCACAAUGGGGGAAACCCUGAUGCAGCGACGCCGCGUGGAGGAAGAAGGUUUUCGGACUGUAAACUCCUGUCGUUAGGGACGAUAAUGACGGUACCUAACAAGAAAGCACCGGCUAACUACGUG
Molecule: ribosomal RNA, 467 nt
Filed under: uncultured bacterium
Lineage: Bacteria
Description: partial 16S ribosomal RNA
Rfam family: Bacterial small subunit ribosomal RNA
Source: RNAcentral